This 283-nucleotide long non-coding RNA is filed under the name Salvia miltiorrhiza (redroot sage). RNAcentral's name for it is "long non-coding RNA (SMIL_LNC010713)". The record is from RNAcentral. Lineage: Eukaryota; Viridiplantae; Streptophyta; Magnoliopsida; Lamiales; Lamiaceae.
UUUCUAACAUUUCUCAAAACAUCAAAAUAAAACUAGCAUGCUCAUCAACCAUACGGUUCUCAUGCUUCUCUCUAUCUAACAUUCCUCAAAACUUCAAACUUAAUCUAUCAUGCUCAACUUCCAUCUUAGAACACAACAACAUACAAACAUUCUUCAUGCAACGCUCAUAACUCACGACACAAAACAGCCAUGCACGUACAUAACUCACGACUAUCAUGCUUGGAAAAUACAAAUUUAACAUACAACAAACCUAGCAUGCUCCUAUGCACAUAUAUCAAGUCAC